AAUAAAUCAGCAAAACAGAUAAAAAUGAAAAAAAAUCAAAAAACUUGAACAAAAACCAGAUUUCAGCUACGAUACCAUAACCCACAACAACAAAGUCUUCAGCGAACAAAUGUUGCAAUUUUCUUAGCACCCUACAAGAGAACCCACAGGAAUGAAAUGCCUUCCAAACAAAAGUCCCAUCUUUCUUAGCCCUUCGAUAGAAAACCGACAACACCGAACCCAUAAUCG
Molecule: long non-coding RNA, 228 nt
Filed under: Ananas comosus (pineapple)
Lineage: Eukaryota; Viridiplantae; Streptophyta; Magnoliopsida; Poales; Bromeliaceae
Description: long non-coding RNA (ACOM_LNC016354)
Source: RNAcentral